GCUGGGAGACAGCCGGGGGAAAAGGCAUGCGGGCGCAGGGCCGCCCAGCUCCGCUGAGGAGGAGGAAGCGAGGAUUUGCCCAGGGUCACGGCGCCCGGGCCUUGGCUUUGCCCAUCCAUCUGGGAGCGGGAAACAUUAACCAGGACUUCCCUGGUGGUGCAGUGGUUAAGAAUCCUCCUGCCAAUGCAGGGGACACAGGUUCAAGCCCUGGUCCAGGAAGGUUCCACAUGCCGCGGAGCAACUAAGCCUGUGUGCCACAACUACUGAGCCCUCACGCCACAACUACUGAAGCCUGUGCACCAGAGUCCGUGCUCUGCAACAAGAGAAGCCAUUGCAAUGAGAAGCUCACGCACCGCAAUGAAGACCCAAUGCAGCCAAAAAUAAAAUAAAUUAAAAUAAAUUAAUUUUUUUAAAAAAAGGAAACAUUAACCAAAGAAUUGCACCCUUUCCUGGAAGAUAAUGGUGUUCUUCUUGGCUCCCAUCCAGCCCUGUUCAACCCCAUUCACCCACUGCAGCAAGAGGAAUCCUUCCCAAAUGAAGAUCUGAGUAAG
Molecule: long non-coding RNA, 551 nt
Organism: Balaenoptera ricei (Rice's whale)
Lineage: Eukaryota; Metazoa; Chordata; Mammalia; Artiodactyla; Balaenopteridae
Exons: 3
Source: RefSeq, a predicted model, not a curated record